This 297-nucleotide ribosomal RNA is filed under the name uncultured bacterium. RNAcentral describes it as "partial 16S ribosomal RNA". It matches the Rfam family "Bacterial small subunit ribosomal RNA", at positions 28 to 334 of the family's 1533-position model. The record is from RNAcentral.
GAUGAACGCUGACAGAAUGCUUAACACAUGCAAGUCUACUUGAUCCUUCGGGUGAUGGUGGCGGACGGGUGAGUAACGCGUAAAGAACUUGCCCUGCAGUCUGGGACAACAUUUGGAAACGAAUGCUAAUACCGGAUAUUAUGUGAGUUUCGCAUGAAAUUCAUAUGAAAGCUAUAUGCGCUGCAGGAGAGCUUUGCGUCCUAUUAGCUAGUUGGUGAGGUAACGGCUCACCAAGGCGAUGAUAGGUAGCCGGCCUGAGAGGGUGAACGGCCACAAGGGGACUGAGACACGGCCCUU